CAAUGCGGAGAGUGCUUUGACCAGACCGGAGAACAUUGAACCCAAAAUAAUCCCAGAUUCUUGUAAAAACUGUUGUGGUAACCAGAGUCAAUUAGACGAAAAGCCAAUUACAUAAGGUUAUCGCAUUUUAUCAAAAUCAUCAAAGCUGGCUGUGAUAUGGAUUUGCUUACAAUGAACAUUUCACAACCCCUUUGACGACUCGGAGGAAUGCUCAAGUAAACAAAAUUAACCGAUUUAACAUGAAAUACAAACCAAUAUUUCAUCAUAAUUUGAAAAAAAGGAAAAGUUGUAAGUUGAAAAAGAGUCCCGCCAUCAUGAUGUUCCCAUUAUAUUCAAGGUGUCUUUUUUCUCUUUUUUGUUUCCCACAAUAAUCAUCACAGUAAAUUACAGUAUCUUUAAGUUAACAUGAGAGCACAAAACAAAUGGACAUAAACCAAUUUCCAGUCAUUGAAAGUUGAUUGAUUAUAAAAAAAUAACAAAGUUAUAAAAUAUAGCAAAUAAGAGGCAAAAAUAACGUUUGAAUGUGUGUUUGUGUUGUUUGAAUGAUAUUAUAUAUAGAGAGAGAGAGAAAGAGAG
Non-coding RNA from Tetranychus urticae (two-spotted spider mite), 576 nucleotides. Lineage: Eukaryota; Metazoa; Arthropoda; Arachnida; Trombidiformes; Tetranychidae. The record is from RefSeq and is a predicted model, not a curated record.